Molecule: long non-coding RNA, 681 nt
Organism: Sapajus apella (tufted capuchin)
Lineage: Eukaryota; Metazoa; Chordata; Mammalia; Primates; Cebidae
Exons: 4
Source: RefSeq, a predicted model, not a curated record
AUGCUUUGUUUAGCUUUGCAUGUUAGCCGACUUUGUUAAUUCACCUAUCUUUAGAGACACAUUUAUAAUAGAAAAUUUAAUUUGAUGAUUAAAAAAUUGGUGAAAUACUUGUAGACUUUUGUAAUUGGAUUUUAUAGUUUCAUCUAAGAACUCACUGAAAAUAUUUUGAACUUCAUGAAGAGAUUUUUAAAUGGCUUUUGAAAGCCACUUAAAAGCCUUAUUUUCCCAAAUGAAUUAGUGUUUGGUGUGCGGAUGAGGAACUUUGCUAUUACCCUGUGAGCAUUACCCGACAAGAAAGAAUCAGAUGAGAGAUUGAAUCUGAAGCUUGUUCAGAUGAACUUUUGAGAAAGGGAGAAUGGUUUGAAAAUGGUUAUGAGGAGAAAGAACGAUGCUGACACCACCUCCAGGACCCAUGGAACAAGAUCUGUGACAGAAUCUUGCUCUGUCAUUCAGGCUGGAGUGUAGUGGUGUGAUUCUGGCUCACUGCAGCCUCAACUUCCCGGGCUCAAGUGAUUCUCACACCUCAGCUUCCAGAGCAGCCGGGACUACAGAAUUUUCCUCCCCCUCUCUUUAUGGUACCUCAACUGAUCAAAGUGAGCUGCAUUUGCUUUCUUUAUUGGAAUACAGCCCCCGCUUGAUACACAGACUAAGUGAAAGACAACAUGGUUUCCAGGGGAAGAA